This 5058-nucleotide long non-coding RNA is filed under the name Equus caballus (horse). RNAcentral's name for it is "lncRNA (ENSECAG00000052731.1)". Lineage: Eukaryota; Metazoa; Chordata; Mammalia; Perissodactyla; Equidae. The record is from RNAcentral.
CUCCUCUGAUUAUGCAAGACGUUGUUGGAUAUUAAAAAAGAGACCCUCUUCCACUUUUAGGAAUUUAUCAUACAGAAAUAGUUGUUCAACUGUGUCAAGGAAAUGUGUGCAAGAUGUUUAUUUACUUGUAACAGUGAAAGUUUAGAAAUCUAAUUAUGCAACAAUAGGGGAAUAGUUCAAUAAAUUAUGAUCAGUCUGUGGAGGAUGUAGAUGGAAUCAUGGUUAAAAUCAUGGACUCUGGAGCUAGAAUGUCUGGCUUCAAGUCCUGCUCUGCUAUUUACUAGUUGUGUGACUAAACCUCAAUUUCCAUAUCUAUGAAAUGGAGACAUCUGUCCCUACUUACUACAGUGAUUGUGUGACUUUGAAUAACUUAUUACAUCUGCUUGAUCUCGUCUUUUCACCAGUAAGAUAAAAAUAGUAAUGUCUACCUCCCUGGAAAGAAAAUAAUAACUGUGUAAAUUGCCUAGUUUAAUGUCUGACAUAAGUAAUAGUAAUAAUAUCUCACAUUUAUUGCACCCUUGUAAUGUGUCAGGCAUUGUUCACUUUAUAUACUUUGAUGGAUUUCAUCUUCACAAGAGAUUUGGGAUGAUUUCAACUCCAGGUAAUAUAAAUCUAACCAAACGUGACAAAACAAUGAAUACAAUGUUAAAUCACAUAACAAGGACCACAGAGAUGGAUGAUCCAAGGUUGUUCAAUUCAGCAACUAGGUUACCUCAUCAGAAGCCCAGGUGUUUUCUAAAUCUUUCUGCUUUGCCGUCUUCCCUUGAUGUUGGUUUGCCUUCUUAGUCUGAACACUCACAUGCUUCCAAGAUGGCUGACGUGGUUACAGGUAUCAAAUGCAAAAGCUACAUUCAGAGGAGCAAGAAAUGUCUCUGUGUUUGUGUCUCUUUUAAGAAUGAGGGCAAUCUUCCCAGAAGCCUCCCAGGAGAUUAACCUUACAUAUUUUUUACUAGAGUUUUAUCAUACUCUUGUACUUAAGUAACUAUUGGCAGGGAAAAAAGGAUCACCACAAUUGGUUCAGGCUAAUUAAGAUUGACCUCCUGGAGGUGGGAAGGGACCUAGCGAUCCCUGGAGCAUUUGGUCAUUAGGAAGAGAGAGAGGAAAGUUAGGACUCUCUUGGAAAGAAUGAAGAGGGGCAGUGUUGCUCACAUUCCUGUUUAAUUCCUUCCUCUUGAGUGUGGACUGACUUGCUCCUAAUGAAUACAAUACAGGAGAAAGGAUGGGAUGUCACUUCCAUGACUAGGCUGUAAGAGACUCUGACUUCCAUCUGGCUGGCAUUUUAUCUCUCUGGCUCCUCUUGUGUGCUUACUUUGAUGAAGCCAAGUGGAAAGGUCCAUGUGACAAGGAACUGAGGAUAGCCUCUCGUCAACUACGAGGGAGGAACUGAGGCCUCAGUCUAAACAUAGAAAUGUCCAUGACACUAAAUAAACAUCCAGUGUGCUAGAUAGCUUCCUUCUGCCCUUACAAAGCCAUUCUCCAUACUGCUCGUGCUCCCAGGGGAUGAUCUGUAUGGUCUCUGUCAUGGGCUCUCUUGCUCUCUGGAUUCUAUUUGGGUUCUACCAAGGGAGGCACUGACUGGAGAUGAGAGGUAGAACAGAGUGAGGUCUAGGUGUUUAUUCUCCUAGCAAUGUCUCUGCAAAUGUGACCUUAUUUGGAAAUAGAGUCUUUGCAGAUGUAAUCAAGUUAAGAUGAGGUCAUACUGUAUUAGUGUGGGCCUUUAUCCAAUGACUGAUCUCCCUAUAAAAAGAAGGAAAUUUAGGGGCUUGCCCGGUGGUGCAGCAGUGAAGUGCGCACUUUCCAUUUUGGUGUCCUGGGGUUUGCCGGUUCGGAUCCCAGGUGUGGACAUGGCACCGCUUGGCAAGCCAUGCUGUGGUAGGCGUCCCACGUAUAAAGUAGAGGAAGAUGGGCAUGGAUGUUAGCUCAGGACCAGUCUUCCUCAGCAAAAAGAGGAGGAUUGGCAGCAGAUGUUAGCUCAGGGCUAAUCUUCCUCAAAAGAAAAAAAAAAAAAAGAAGGAAAUUUACUCACAGACACACAGGGAGAAGGCCAUGUGAUGAUGAAGUAAUAUGUCUACAAGUGAAGGAAUGCCAAGGAUUGUGAGCAGCCACGAGAAGGAGAGAGGCAUGGAACAGAUUCUCCCUCAGAGACUCCAGAAGGAACCAACCCUUCUGACAUCUUGAUUUUGGACUUCUAGCCUCCAGGACUGUGAAAGAAUACAUUUCUGUUAUUUUAAACUACCCAGUUUGUACAGUUUGUUUUAAUUUGUUAUGGCAGCCCUAGGAAACAAAUGCAUUGAUCAGUCAUUUUUCUUUGGUGUUAUGUUAGAAAAUCAUAACCUUGUGCUGAAUAGCUCCAUUACUAUUUUAAUGUGUUUUUCCUGAUUAUGCUAUUGAAACUAUAGAAAAGUCUAAAGAAAAAAUCACAAUUAGGAGGUAUUAUCCAUAAUACUCCCAUGGUUAUCUUUUUGAUAUAUUUCCAUUGAUCCCUUGCCUAAACAUGAUUUUACGUAACUUUCUCAUAUGAUAUACAGAAUUCUUCAUUCUGGCUUUUUCACUUAAAAUGAUAGGUAAAUAGGUAUUUACAGAGUAAGCAACUCAUCAUAGAUAUUUUGAUGGCUGCAUAAAAUGCAUUAUGUAGGUGUUCUAUAUUUUAUUUAACAGUUUAUCUAUUGUUGAAUAAUUGGAUUGUUUUUUCUCUCUCUCUUUUUUUUUUUUUUUGUUAUUGGAAACAAUCUGUGGUGCAGGGUACGAUGAAACAAAAGUCUUGUUUCCAGAAGGGGAUUUAAUCUGGCUAUUGGUGAUUGGGGUAGAUUAGAGAAAUAUAUGUUAACAGGAUUGUCCCACAAUCAGAGACCAGCGUCUCCCAACUAAUCCAGAUGUGACUGCAAAGGAAAAAUUUAGGAUGGGAGUAGAAAGAGCCUUCCAGGGGCUGUCCUUAAGUUACACAGCAGGGAGAGCAGACCCUGGAGUUGCCGGAUUACUCAGAACAAGAUCCGCAGGGACAUCUCCUGGAAGUGUGCCCUUUGCUCACUCUUUUAAUAAGUCCCAGCUGCUCUUGAUCCUCUUUGGGCUGUCACCCAGGGAGUUCCUGUAGGGAUCUUCCUAACUAACCUCCUGAGACUCAUUUAGUGUAAAAGCAAAACUCAGGCUGACCUUAACUGAUGUGAAGCAAAGCUGCCUGUGGGGAUUUCCACACUUGGAUCCCCUGGGAAUCUCUAAGCAGCAAGUACUAAUGAGGCCAUGAGGGUCUGCAUUUGACUCCUUUCUCUUCUCUUAGACCUAUUCCCGCAGACACCAGAGAAGGAGGGAGGAUGAGGGGAUCGGCCUGGGCAGAGACUGACUAGGACCCAAGUGCCUCCCCAGAGUGUGUGCAACACUAUUUUCAGGCUUCCCCAGGUAGAAAAGUUUGGAAGUUCAGAGUCAUCUCUAUUGGCCUAACUGGGAUGUGCUUAGAAAUUCUCUGUAUUAUAAUUCAUUGGGGAAUAUCGGUCUUCUACUUGAGGUUAUUCAAUCUGGAAAAAUAUCAAUUCAUUACUUGUAUCUUUCUUUGGUCUGCUUCAGAAAGUGAAGUAUGGCAAGCUAAUGCCUUGGACAAAGAACCUUGGUAAUGAGAUUGGUAAACUUUCCGCAUAUGAGCUCCUCCCCAAGAGGCUGAGUCACAGGGAAGUUAUUCAGGUGCCUAAUCUAUACAGACCCCAUCCCCUCACUCUAGAACUGGAAAAUGUUCAGAUCAUUCCCUCUUUCUUUGAUUCAAAAUAUAUAUUCAGUCUACUAUGUGCCAAGCAGCGUACUGUGUAUUAUGGGAGACAAAUGAAUAAAAUACAGUAUUUGCCUUAAGGUGGAUAAAAAUAUGGCAGGAAAUAGAAGUUGUUCAAAACAAUUGCUACAAGAGUUAGGGUACAUUAAGUACCACAAACGAGGCACAAACAGAAAUCAGAGGAUGUUCAUACAUGGGACACUAUACUCAAUUUCUGACUGGAGAGAUAAGGCCUGGGAGAUAAAUCCUUAAGAGAGGACUGGGCAUUUAACCUCAAAAUUUCAAAUGUCCUCUCUUUUCUUUCUUCAUGGUCACUGGCUUGGAUCAGAUCUUCAUUAUCUCAUUUAUUUAUUCAUUCACUCACUCAUUCAACGUUUUUUUAAAAAACCAUCAAAGUAUCAAAGUCAAGGCCAGGCAUAGGGCUAUGACAGACAACAACACAGAAAUGGCUCUUACCUUCAUGGUGCUUAUACUCUAGUUGAGGAGAUAAGUAAACAGACAAAUAAGAGUGAUGAGAGAAUCAAAGAAAGAGCUAGGCAGAGAAUAGCAGGAGGAGAAGUUUUAGAAAGGAAGGUCAGGGAAGGCCUGUCUUAGAAAGUGAUGCAUAAGCUAAGAGUUAAGAUGAGACCAAGCUAGUUAUGGCAAAAAUUAAGGAAAAAGCAACAUCAUACGCAAGGCAAUGAAAUAGGAAAGAGUUGAGAAAGUUCAAGUUUCUGAAAUAAGAUACAUGUAGCUGGAAUAUAGUGAAUAAAGAAGAAACCAGAAUGAGAUGUGACGGGAGAGAUAGGUAGAAGGGAGAUAAUAUAUGGCCUUGAAUGCUAUUAUUAGGAUUUUAAAUUUUAUUCUAAGUGCAAUAGAAAGUCAUUUUUUUAAAAGAUUGAACAAUAUAACCUGAUUUAUAUUUUAAGAUGAGUCCUGCUGCAGUGUGGGAAAUCGAUAGGAGGAGGGUAAGAAUAAAAUUGAGAAGACCGAGGGAGUGACAUCAGCCUCGUGGUGGAGUGAGUUAUUCCCUUUGAGUCUCCCAUCUAAGUUACAGCCAAUCAGACAUCCAUUGACCAACAAAGAACUUCCUGCACAGCACACCAGAACUCCUGAGAGAUUCACGCAUGUAAACAUCUGAAGGAAUUUGGUGACAAACAGACCAUUUCCAGCCACAGCAACAGAAUGAGGUAAGACAUAAUUUCCACAAGAUUGUCCCAUUUUAUGUAUUACUAUAAUAUAUGUAACUAGUGCCCAACUGAGUGAUAUUUAGGUUAUUUCUAGAGCGAAGAUGAACAGUGGGGUUGGAAGUAUUUCCUAUAACG